GAUGAACGCUGGCGGCGUGCUUAACACAUGCAAGUCGAACGGUGAAGGCGGAGCUUGCUCUGCUGGAUCAGUGGCGAACGGGUGAGUAACACGUGAGCAAUCUGCCCCUGACUCUGGGAUAAGCGCUGGAAACGGCGUCUAAUACUGGAUACGAGCUGCGCAGGCAUCUUCAGCAGCUGGAAAUAAUUUCGGUCAGGGAUGAGCUCGCGGCCUAUCAGCUUGUUGGUGAGGUAAUGGCUCACCAAGGCGUCGACGGGUAGCCGGCCUGAGAGGGUGACCGGCCACACUGGGACUGAGACACGGCCCAGACUCCUACGGGAGGCAGCAGUGGGGAAUAUUGCACAAUGGGCGAAAGCCUGAUGCAGCAACGCCGCGUGAGGGACGACGGCCUUCGGGUUGUAAACCUCUUUUAGCAGGGAAGAAGCGAAAGUGACGGUACCUGCAGAAAAAGCGCCGGCUAACUACGUG
RNAcentral lists this ribosomal RNA (468 nucleotides) under uncultured bacterium. Its description in RNAcentral is "partial 16S ribosomal RNA". It matches the Rfam family "Bacterial small subunit ribosomal RNA", at positions 28 to 507 of the family's 1533-position model. The record is from RNAcentral.